RNAcentral lists this unclassified non-coding RNA (221 nucleotides) under soil metagenome. RNAcentral describes it as "partial contains 5.8S ribosomal RNA, internal transcribed spacer 2, and large subunit ribosomal RNA". The record is from RNAcentral.
AACGCACGAGACCUGCGGACCUGCGGAAGGAUCAUUACACAAUACAAUAUGAAGGCUGUCCGCAGCUGGAGUAUUUUAUUACCCUUGUCUUUUGCGCACUUGUUGUUUCCUGGGCGGGUUCGCUCGCCACCAGGACCACCAAAUAAACCUUUUUUAUGCAGUUGCAAUCAGCGUCAGUACAAACAAUGUAAAUCAUUUACAACUUUCAACAACGGAUCUCU